AUUCCGCCGGGACCCCUGAGCAUCCCUGAUAAGGAUGAGGUCGCUGGUUCAAAUCCAGCUCGGCCCA
This 67-nucleotide transfer RNA is filed under the name Acidimicrobiia bacterium. RNAcentral describes it as "tRNA-Ile". It matches the Rfam family "tRNA", at positions 9 to 71 of the family's 71-position model. Rfam says of the family: Transfer RNA (tRNA) molecules are approximately 80 nucleotides in length. Their secondary structure includes four short double-helical elements and three loops (D, anti-codon, and T loops). Lineage: Bacteria; Bacillati; Actinomycetota; Acidimicrobiia. The record is from RNAcentral.